Molecule: ribosomal RNA, 497 nt
Filed under: uncultured bacterium
Lineage: Bacteria
Description: partial 16S ribosomal RNA
Rfam family: Bacterial small subunit ribosomal RNA
Source: RNAcentral
GAUGAACGCUGGCGGCGUGCCUAAUACAUGCGAGUCGAGCGAACAGACGAGGAGCUUGCUCCUCUGACGUUAGCGGCGGACGGGUGAGUAACACGUGGAUAACCUACCUAUAAGACUGGGAUAACUUCGGGAAACCGGAGCUAAUACCGGAUAAUAUAUUGAACCGCAUGGUUCAAUAGUGAAAGACGGUUUUGCUGUCACUUAUAGAUGGAUCCGCGCCGCAUUAGCUAGUUGGUAAGGUAACGGCUUACCAAGGCAACGAUGCAUAGCCGACCUGAGAGGGUGAUCGGCCACACUGGAACUGAGACACGGUCCAGACUCCUACGGGAGGCAGCAGUAGGGAAUCUUCCGCAAUGGGCGAAAGCCUGACGGAGCAACGCCGCGUGAGUGAUGAAGGUCUUCGGAUCGUAAAACUCCGUUAUUAGGGAAGAACAAAUGUGUAAGUAACUAUGCACGUCUUGACGGUACCUAAUCAGAAAGCCACGGCUAACUACGUG